UACGUAGGGUGCAAGCGUUGUCCGGAAUUAUUGGGCGUAAAGAGCUCGUAGGCGGCCUGUCGCGUCGGAUGUGAAAAUCCAAGGCUCAACCUUGGACCUGCAUUCGAUACGGGCAGGCUAGAGUUCGGUAGGGGAGACUGGAAUUCCUGAUGUAGCGGUGAAAUGCGCAGAUAUCAGGAGGAACACCAGUGGCGAAGGCGGCUCACUGGCCCGGUACUGACGCUGAGGUGCGAAAGCGUGGGGAGCAAACAGG
Molecule: ribosomal RNA, 253 nt
Filed under: uncultured bacterium
Lineage: Bacteria
Description: partial 16S ribosomal RNA
Rfam family: Bacterial small subunit ribosomal RNA
Source: RNAcentral